GCGGUAUGGCUGCAUCGCAUCGGCAGGAAAAACUUCGAUUGUCACCGAGGGAGGCUUUGCGAGAAACACUUCACGAUGGAUCAGUAUGAGCCAGCAAUUCCGGCACAAACUGGGAUCAAGAAACUCAAGCCAAAUGCGGUUCCUUCUAUAUUUGCGCAUCGGCCUCUUCCGAGAGAGCGCAAGCCACCCCGCAAAAGGGGGAAUGAAACGGUUCCUGGUGAGGCCCCUUUGUAGUUUCUAUUCCUCUCUUGUGUUGUGAAUGCGAUUAUGUUUUGGGGUUUAUAUGAAAAUACAGUGUGUUUGGAUCGCUGGCAGAUAGCAUAGUUGCUGCAUUUAUCUUUAUGACCUGUGAACCUGAUUAAUUCGGCAUCCAAUUCUGUCUUACUGUGGCAGCAAACAUCCCCACCCCUACACUGUACUUGCUCAACUCUUGCUUACAGCUGUAUCCUUGGAUGAGCCAGAAACGUCAGUGGGGAGGGCCCCGGACGCUGAACCAGUGGGCAGUUUAUUUUCUGCCUCCUCGGACAACACAGCAACGUCAAUA
Long non-coding RNA from Rhipicephalus microplus (southern cattle tick), 544 nucleotides. The record is from RefSeq and is a predicted model, not a curated record. Lineage: Eukaryota; Metazoa; Arthropoda; Arachnida; Ixodida; Ixodidae.